GGCGAUAUGGCCGAGCGGUCUAAGGCGCCAGAAUCAGGACCUUGGUCUAUCUGGUCCGAAAGGGCGUGGGUUCGAAUCCCACUGUCGUCA
Trametes versicolor FP-101664 SS1 is the source of this 90-nucleotide transfer RNA. It matches the Rfam family "tRNA". From Rfam's summary of the family: Transfer RNA (tRNA) molecules are approximately 80 nucleotides in length. Lineage: Eukaryota; Fungi; Basidiomycota; Agaricomycetes; Polyporales; Polyporaceae. The record is from Rfam.